This 312-nucleotide long non-coding RNA is filed under the name Setaria italica (foxtail millet). RNAcentral describes it as "long non-coding RNA (SITA_LNC004139)". Lineage: Eukaryota; Viridiplantae; Streptophyta; Magnoliopsida; Poales; Poaceae. The record is from RNAcentral.
UGGCCUUUGUCACUUUUGCGAUUGGUGCAGGCAUUUCCUCAAGAAAAGCACCUGAGCACUUGCUGCUGAUAUUUGCUGCUCGAUCCAAUGUUGCGAUGAUUAAGCGAGCAAGCACCACGGCGGUGGUGUUGGUGCAAAGCCCCUACCUAACGUGCAUUAUAUUUCUUUCAGCAGAUGGAUGCUAGUGAAAAAACAAUUAAUAAAAAAAGAGAUAGACUUCCCUGUCAUGCAAUUGCUGUCUCCACAACACAAGAACGUCCGACAGGUCGUGCAGGGCUCUACGUGGAAAAGACCCGCCGUUGUUAGCGUUCC